UGAUCUCGCAGAGUACAUUGGAGGGCAGUCUGGUGCCAGCAGCCGCGGUAAUUCCAGCUCCAAUAGCGUAUAUUAAACUUGUUGCAGUUAAAAAGCUCGUAGUUGAACUUUUGCGUUGACUUUUUCCUGCUUUUGCUGGUUUUUGUCUUCGCUUUUUCUUUUUACUUUGAGAAAAUUAGAGUGUUUAUCGCAGACUUUUGUCUUGAAUACUUCAGCAUGGAAUAAUAGAGUAGGACUUUGGUUCUAUUUUGUUGGUUUUGGGACCUUGGUAAUGGUUAAUAGGAACGGUUGGGGGCAUUCGUAUUUAACUGUCAGAGGUGAAAUUCUUAGAUUUGUUAAAGACGAACUACUGCGAAAGCAUUUGCCAAGGACGUUUUCAUUAAUCAAGAACGAAAGUUAGGGGAUCGAAGACGAUCAGAUACCGUCGUAGUCCUAACCAUAAACUUGGCCGACUAAA
This 457-nucleotide ribosomal RNA is filed under the name Babesia caballi. RNAcentral describes it as "SSU rRNA". It matches the Rfam family "Eukaryotic small subunit ribosomal RNA", at positions 531 to 1050 of the family's 1831-position model. The record is from RNAcentral. Lineage: Eukaryota; Apicomplexa; Aconoidasida; Piroplasmida; Babesiidae.